AGUGAUUGACUUUCCAUAACAAAAUUGUUUUGUCAUGAUUGAACCAGAGUUGGAUUCUUGUGAUAUUAAAUACUAGCAAAACUGGGCCUUUGCGGUUAAUCCUCGAUCCAAGUUUAUCAUAGUUUAGAUGGUCAUGUCAUGAUUGUUAUGGAUGAAAAAAUGCUGUCUAAAAAGAGAGUAAAUUUGUAAAAGGCUUUACAUUGGCUUUACUACUAUUGGUUGUAAAGCCAACUUAGCUAAUUGGAAUUUAGAGACGCCUUUGCAGUAUUAACUACUAUACAUCAAAUUUGAUUCGUAUUUUUCAUUUCCAAUUACAG
This 317-nucleotide unclassified non-coding RNA is filed under the name Hevea brasiliensis (rubber tree). The record is from RNAcentral. Lineage: Eukaryota; Viridiplantae; Streptophyta; Magnoliopsida; Malpighiales; Euphorbiaceae.